RNAcentral lists this long non-coding RNA (6847 nucleotides) under Homo sapiens (human). Its description in RNAcentral is "non-protein coding NEAT1:26". The stretch from base 1163 to 1321 matches the Rfam family "Nuclear enriched abundant transcript 1 conserved region 3". The record is from RNAcentral. Lineage: Eukaryota; Metazoa; Chordata; Mammalia; Primates; Hominidae.
GGAGUUAGCGACAGGGAGGGAUGCGCGCCUGGGUGUAGUUGUGGGGGAGGAAGUGGCUAGCUCAGGGCUUCAGGGGACAGACAGGGAGAGAUGACUGAGUUAGAUGAGACGAGGGGGCGGGCUGGGGGUGCGAGAAGGAAGCUUGGCAAGGAGACUAGGUCUAGGGGGACCACAGUGGGGCAGGCUGCAUGGAAAAUAUCCGCAGGGUCCCCCAGGCAGAACAGCCACGCUCCAGGCCAGGCUGUCCCUACUGCCUGGUGGAGGGGGAACUUGACCUCUGGGAGGGCGCCGCUCUUGCAUAGCUGAGCGAGCCCGGGUGCGCUGGUCUGUGUGGAAGGAGGAAGGCAGGGAGAGGUAGAAGGGGUGGAGGAGUCAGGAGGAAUAGGCCGCAGCAGCCCUGGAAAUGAUCAGGAAGGCAGGCAGUGGGUGCAGGGCUGCAGGAGGGCCGGGAGGGCUAAUCUUCAACUUGUCCAUGCCAGCAGCCCCUUUUUUUCCAGACCAAGGGCUGUGAACCCGCCUGGGGAUGAGGCCUGGUCUUGUGGAACUGAACUUAGCUCGACGGGGCUGACCGCUCUGGCCCAGGGUGGUAUGUAAUUUUCGCUCGGCCUGGGACGGGGCCCAGGCCGGGCCCAGCCUGGUGGAGCGUCCAGGUCUGGGUGCGAAGCCAGGCCCCUGGGCGGAGGUGAGGGGUGGUCUGAGGAGUGAUGUGGAGUUAAGGCGCCAUCCUCACCGGUGACUGGUGCGGCACCUAGCAUGUUUGACAGGCGGGGACUGCGAGGCACGCUGCUCGGGUGUUGGGGACAACAUUGACCAACGCUUUAUUUUCCAGGUGGCAGUGCUCCUUUUGGACUUUUCUCUAGGUUUGGCGCUAAACUCUUCUUGUGAGCUCACUCCACCCCUUCUUCCUCCCUUUAACUUAUCCAUUCACUUAAAACAUUACCUGGUCAUCUGGUAAGCCCGGGACAGUAAGCCGAGUGGCUGUUGGAGUCGGUAUUGUUGGUAAUGGUGGAGGAAGAGAGGCCUUCCCGCUGAGGCUGGGGUGGGGCGGAUCGGUGUUGCUUGCCUGCAGAGAGGGUGGGGAGUGAAUGUGCACCCUUGGGUGGGCCUGCAGCCAUCCAGCUGAAAGUUACAAAAAUGCUUCAUGGACCGUGGUUUGUUACUAUAGUGUUCCUCAUGGCGAGCAGAUGGAACCGGGAGACAUGGAGUCCCUGGCCAGUGUGAGUCCUAGCAUUGCAGGAGGGGAGACCCUGGAGGAGAGAGCCCGCCUCAAUUGAUGCCUGCAGAUUGAAUUUCCAGAGGCUUAGGAGGAGGAAGUUCUCCAAUGUUCUGUUUCCAGGCCUUGCUCAGGAAGCCCUGUAUUCAGGAGGCUACCAUUUAAAGUUUGCAGAUGAGCUUAUGGGGGGCAAUCUUAAAAAGUCCACAGCAGAUGCAUCCGGCUCGAGGGGCCAUCAGCUUUGAAUAAAUGCUUGUUCCAGAGCCCAUGAAUGCCAGCAGGCACCCCUCCUUUCCUGGGGUAAAGGUUUUCAGAUGCUGCAUCUUCUAAAUUGAGCCUCCGGUCAUACUAGUUUUGUGCUUGGAACCUUGCUUCAAGAAGAUCCCUAAGCUGUAGAACAUUUUAACGUUGAUGCCACAACGCAGAUUGAUGCCUUGUAGAUGGAGCUUGCAGAUGGAGCCCCGUGACCUCUCACCUACCCACCUGUUUGCCUGCCUUCUUGUGCGUUUCUCGGAGAAGUUCUUAGCCUGAUGAAAUAACUUGGGGCGUUGAAGAGCUGUUUAAUUUUAAAUGCCUUAGACUGGGGAUAUAUUAGAGGAAGCAGAUUGUCAAAUUAAGGGUGUCAUUGUGUUGUGCUAAACGCUGGGAGGGUACAAGUUGGUCAUUCCUAAAUCUGUGUGUGAGAAAUGGCAGGUCUAGUUUGGGCAUUGUGAUUGCAUUGCAGAUUACUAGGAGAAGGGAAUGGUGGGUACACCGGUAGUGCUCUUUUGUUCUUGCUUCGUUUUUUUAAACUUGAACUUUACUUCGUUAGAUUUCAUAAUACUUUCUUGGCAUUCUAGUAAGAGGACCCUGAGGUGGGAGUUGUGGGGGACGGGGAGAAGGGGACAGCUUGGCACCGGUCCCGUGGGCGUUGCAGUGUGGGGGAUGGGGGUAUGCAGCUUGGCACUGGUACUGGGAGGGAUGAGGGUGAAGAAGGGGAGAGGGUUGGUUAGAGAUACAGUGUGGGUGGUGGGGGUGGUAGGAAAUGCAGGUUGAAGGGAAUUCUCUGGGGCUUUGGGGAAUUUAGUGCGUGGGUGAGCCAAGAAAAUACUAAUUAAUAAUAGUAAGUUGUUAGUGUUGGUUAAGUUGUUGCUUGGAAGUGAGAAGUUGCUUAGAAACUUUCCAAAGUGCUUAGAACUUUAAGUGCAAACAGACAAACUAACAAACAAAAAUUGUUUUGCUUUGCUACAAGGUGGGGAAGACUGAAGAAGUGUUAACUGAAAACAGGUGACACAGAGUCACCAGUUUUCCGAGAACCAAAGGGAGGGGUGUGUGAUGCCAUCUCACAGGCAGGGGAAAUGUCUUUACCAGCUUCCUCCUGGUGGCCAAGACAGCCUGUUUCAGAGGGUUGUUUUGUUUGGGGUGUGGGUGUUAUCAAGUGAAUUAGUCACUUGAAAGAUGGGCGUCAGACUUGCAUACGCAGGAAUUUAGUAUGUAAAUCGUGCCUUAGAAACACAUCUGUUGUCUUUUCUGUGUUUGGUCGAUAUUAAUAAUGGCAAAAUUUUUGCCUAUCUAGUAUCUUCAAAUUGUAGUCUUUGUAACAACCAAAUAACCUUUUGUGGUCACUGUAAAAUUAAUAUUUGGUAGACAGAAUCCAUGUACCUUUGCUAAGGUUAGAAUGAAUAAUUUAUUGUAUUUUUAAUUUGAAUGUUUGUGCUUUUUAAAUGAGCCAAGACUAGAGGGGAAACUAUCACCUAAAAUCAGUUUGGAAAACAAGACCUAAAAAGGGAAGGGGAUGGGGAUUGUGGGGAGAGAGUGGGCGAGGUGCCUUUACUACAUGUGUGAUCUGAAAACCCUGCUUGGUUCUGAGCUGCGUCUAUUGAAUUGGUAAAGUAAUACCAAUGGCUUUUUAUCAUUUCCUUCUUCCCUUUAAGUUUCACUUGAAAUUUUAAAAAUCAUGGUUAUUUUUAUCGUUGGGAUCUUUCUGUCUUCUGGGUUCCAUUUUUUAAAUGUUUAAAAAUAUGUUGACAUGGUAGUUCAGUUCUUAACCAAUGACUUGGGGAUGAUGCAAACAAUUACUGUCGUUGGGAUUUAGAGUGUAUUAGUCACGCAUGUAUGGGGAAGUAGUCUCGGGUAUGCUGUUGUGAAAUUGAAACUGUAAAAGUAGAUGGUUGAAAGUACUGGUAUGUUGCUCUGUAUGGUAAGAACUAAUUCUGUUACGUCAUGUACAUAAUUACUAAUCACUUUUCUUCCCCUUUACAGCACAAAUAAAGUUUGAGUUCUAAACUCAUUAGAAUUGUUGUAUUGCUAUGUUACAUUUCUCGACCCCUAUCACAUUGCCUUCAUAACGACUUUGGAUGUAUCUUCAUAUUGUAGAUUUAGGUCUAGAUUUGCUAGCUCCAAGUAAUUAAGGCCAUGUAGGAGAGCAUGGUAACCACAGAUAGAACUGGUAUUAUCCCAAGUGGUCUGCAGACUGCUGAGUGGGGAUGGGAUCUGCUCUCUGUUGAGAGUUGGUAAUCAUUGGUUUGAAAUGUGAUGAAACCACUCAAGCCAAUGAAGGUGGGUGUGUAGGUGGGGAGUACUUUGCCAUAAUAUUUUAAAACAUUACCUGGUUAGAGUUCUAAGUGGUACUUAUUUUUGUUUGGUUAGGGGAAAGCCUGAAUAAAAACAGAAAUGGACACAUAAUAUGCAUAUUCCAUAGUCUUUGGGAGGCUGGAAUGUGCCUGGGAUUUGGGUCUAAGUGUAUGCGUAAUUCUUACCUCACUAAAGAAUUUGCCUUGUUUUUUUCCUUUUGGUGAGUGACUAAAACGUCUGGGCUUCCCUGUGUGCGUGCUACAGUAAGCAAGCAGAGGCUGUGCAAAGGUGUGAGCAGGAUCACGUGGAAUCUGGAGGAUACAUCUUGGCUUGCAAACUGCCUCUGUCUCCUGGGUGGGACUGUUCUGUCCUUGCACUGCUGUUCUGUGUUACCUCUUGGGGUGUAAGGUUUUGCUUACAGGAGACAAACUUUGGGCGUAGAAUGGAAGCCACUGCCAGCCUCUGUGCUGAGAAGGAAGGUGCUUGUUUCAAAGGGAGCAGCAAGGGAGGCUUGUUCUACUCACCUGGGCCUGUUUGCCUGAGAAGGGGAGAUAAGGGCUGAACUGGGACUAGCCAGGGGGACCAACACAAAUGGUGGGGGAUCAUGACCUGAAGGAUUCUUUCCUUCCCAUGAGCUGCAGGGCUGGUUGCCGUCCUUGCAACUGUGUCUUAUUUGCCUGUGCCGUUAUAUCUUGGUGACCCCUCCACGUGUACACUACUGACAAACGGGUGGAGUGCUGGGGAGAAGUCACUGUGCCGCCCACCUAGUAAACCUUCUGUCUGUGCUCAUGGCAUCUCCAAGAUGGGGCACUGCUGUGUGCAGAAUCCAGGGUCCUCUUUCUGCUUGCAACUCCUUUCCCUGGAUGCCCCAGAAACAAUCCAGGCCUCCUUUCCUAUCUUACCCCUUUGCUUUGCUUUUUACCCCAGCACCUCUAUAACCGCCUUCUCUUCUUUUCAGAACUCCUUGUUUCUCGUCCUGUUUUUUAUGAUUACAAAACUCUUGCUUCCACCCUGGAAGAUAACUGCUAUAGAUGCCUGUAUGUAAAUGGUGCUGUCUCCAGCAACUGGCAUGCUGAAGAAGAAUUGAUUCACGGGGUAUAAAUGUUGGGGAUUGGAAGUGGGGAUGAAAUGGCACUUGUUGAUACAGGAGCAGAGAGGUGAGGCCGACUGCUGAAGACAGCUCGCCACCCUCCUUGCCUCCACUCCAAUCCAGGGGCUGGGGCCACAUUCUUUGCCUUCAUUUAUCCUCAGAUCAGGUGAGAUCGACAGGAGGUGUUGAUGGCAGUGCCAGCAAUUAUUGCUAAUCCGUUUGCAUCCUUAUGCAUAGAUCUGAAUUCAGACUUUGUGAAUUUCCAGAGGUGUGGGUAAUAUAAUAGAAUUCAGUGAGUGGGCAUGGCUGAUCUUGUGCAAAUUAAAAGUUAUGGGGCAUAAGAAUAGCAAAAGUUGAACUUCUUUUAAAAAGGAAAGUACCCUGAGAGCCAGUAUUGGUUGAGGCUCUUCAGUAUGCCCAGGUUGGCAGCACUGAGAACCGCAGGAACGGCCUGUUGUUACAAAAAGGAGAUUGACUCAGCUGCCCUUGGUGCAUCUGACUGACUAUGACUGCUGAGAGAUUCCAAGGACCCUUAAUGCCAGGGCUAACCUCUCCAUGUGCAGUGAGACCUCUGGAGGAAGUGUCAUCCUCUGGCUUUGUGUGGUACUCAUUAUGGUGCAGUGCGGGCAUGAAAUGAAGACACCCAAAUAGGCUUACAGAUACGAUAUGUUUUAAAUGUUCGUAUUUAACAAAAACAUACUGACACUGUUUGGAAAUGGCAACAGGAAGAUAGCAAAAUGAAUACUAACAUUACGAAAAGAUGAACAGGUACAUGUUCCAAGGCAGGUGGCUGUGAACUUCCUCUGAGUGAAGGCAUCCCCUCCAGCACCUUUCAGCCUGCUAGUUAGGACGACCCGCCGCCACCCUCCAGGACCUCCAGCCCUGCACUGCCUUUCCUCUCUUUUAAAUAAUUCUUCAUUGAGUUCUAAUAUGUAAAAAAAAAAAGUUUACUGUAAAGUUUGCAAAUAAGGAAAUUUUUUUUAAAAGUCCUCAGUAAUCUUACCAGUAACAAUUGUUAUGGGCACAUUUGCUUUUGGAAGAUUUCUUUUGUAUGCAUGGGAUAAGUACAUUUUUAAACAAAAAUGGGAUUAUGCCAUAAAUUCUAUUUUGUGACUUUAAUAUAUAGUGAACACCUUUUUUAAUGAUGACAGGAUGUUCCCUUGCAUGGCUGUAUCAAUUUAAACAAUCUUGUUUCAAUGGGCAUACAGGGUAUUUUCUAGUUUUUUUUUCCUCUUAGAAAAUAAUACUUGCGAUGACUUUCCUUGUAGCUCAGACUUUUUCACGUCUGUUGUUAUCUCUUUGGGAAUGCUGAAUACAUACAUUUCGAGAAGGAAAUGACUGUUAAACUCUUAAGACUUCAGGUUCAUAUUGCUAAACUGCCCAGCAGGGAGGGAUUUUUUCAAUUAGUGUUCUCACUGGUGAGGCAAACCUGAUGCCUUCCCCUCUUCCUCAGAACCGGCUUUAUCACAUUGAAAACCUUUGCUCCUCCGACGGAUCGAGUCUGCUUUCCCUCUGGAUGUGAGCAUUGCUUUGUCUGCUGGUGACUGAACAUCUCUACCUUGUGUCAAUUGGCCAUUUGUGGUGUGUGUGUGUGUGCGUGUGUGUGUGUGUGUGUGUGUAUGAUUUUCUAAUUCCUAGUCAUUUUUCUAUUGAUUGUUUUGCAAAAGCCAUUUACAUCUUAAGGAUAUUGAUAAUCUUUUGUUAUAUUUGAUGCAAAUAUUUUUUUCCAGUUUAUAGGUUGCCUUUUAAUUUUGUGUUUCAGGUAGAUAAAAGUUAAACGAUUUUCUUAGGUUAGUUUAUCACUGUGGUUUCUGAACUUGUUAUGUGUAGAUCUUUUCCACCCCAAGAGUACAUAAAUAUUAAUCCAUACUUUCUUAUGGAACUUGUAUGGUUUCGUUUUUUACAUUUAAACCUUCUUCCCCGUGGUGUGUGUUGUGGAAUCUGUGUUUGUGUGAGGAGGGGCAUGGUGCUCUCAGAACCCACCUCCUGUG